Molecule: non-coding RNA, 23 nt
Filed under: Arabidopsis thaliana (thale cress)
Lineage: Eukaryota; Viridiplantae; Streptophyta; Magnoliopsida; Brassicales; Brassicaceae
Source: RNAcentral
CGGGGUGUCCAUGUCCAUUAGCC